UUUCUGUAGGUGAACCUGCGGAAGGAUCAUUAUUGUAUAACCGAGGUGCGAGGGCUGUCGCUGACCCGAAAGGUCGUGCACGCCCGAGUGCCCUCACACACAUCCAUCUCACCCCUAAGUGCACCACCGCGUGGGUCCCCCUUUGGCUUGUUCGGAGGGGGGCUUACGUUUUCACACAAACUUUGUAUGCAGUGUAGAAUGUAUUUUUUGUUUUUGCGAUCACGCAAUCAAUACAACUUUCAACAACGGAUCUCUUGGCUCUC
This 263-nucleotide unclassified non-coding RNA is filed under the name plant metagenome. RNAcentral's name for it is "partial contains small subunit ribosomal RNA, internal transcribed spacer 1, and 5.8S ribosomal RNA". The record is from RNAcentral.